GUGGGGAAUAUUCCGCAAUGGACGAAAGUCUGACGGAGCAACGCCGCGUGAGUGAUGAAGGUUUUCGGACUGUAAAGCUCUGUUGUUUAGGACGAAAGUGCCUGUUGCAAAUAGUUACAGGUAUUGACGGUACUGAACGAGGAAGCCACGGCUAACUACGUGCCAGCAGCCGCGGUAAUACGUAGGUGGCAAGCGUUGUCCGGAAUUAUUGGGCGUAAAGAGCAUGUAGGCGGGAAUCUACGUCUGUUGUGAAAAUGCGGGGCUCAACCCCGUAUUGCGAUGGAAACUGGGUUUCUUGAGUGCAGGAGAGGAAAGGGGAAUUCCCAGUGUAGCGGUGAAAUGCGUAGAUAUUGGGAGGAACACCAGUGGCGAAGGCGCCUUUCUGGACUGUGUCUGACGCUGAGAUGCGAAAGCCAGGGUAGCGAACGGGAUUAGAAACCCGAGUAGUCC
RNAcentral lists this ribosomal RNA (450 nucleotides) under uncultured bacterium. Its description in RNAcentral is "partial 16S ribosomal RNA". It matches the Rfam family "Bacterial small subunit ribosomal RNA", at positions 354 to 796 of the family's 1533-position model. The record is from RNAcentral.